GGGAUUUCCUCAGUAACGGCGAGUGAAGCGGUAACAGCUCAAAUUUGAAAGCUAGCUCUUUUAGGGUUCGCAUUGUAAUUUGUAGAAGAUGUUUCGGGUGUGGCCCCGGUCUAAGUUCCUUGGAACAGGACGUCAUAGAGGGUGAGAAUCCCGUAUGUGACUGGGUGCUUUCGCUCAUGUGAAACUCUUUCGACGAGUCGAGUUGUUUGGGAAUGCAGCUCAAAAUGGGUGGUAAAUUUCAUCUAAAGCUAAAUAUUGGCCAGAGACCGAUAGCGCACAAGUAGAGUGAUCGAAAGAUGAAAAGCACUUUGGAAAGAGAGUUAAACAGUACGUGAAAUUGUUGAAAGGGAAGCGCUUGCAACCAGACUUGCGCGCUGAUGAUCAUCCGGGCUUCUGUCCGGUGCACUCGUCUGCGCUCAGGCCAGCAUCGGUUUUGGUGGUGGGAUAAAGGCCUUGGGAAUGUAGCUCCUCUCGGGGAGUGUUAUAGCCCUCGGUGCAAUGCCGCCUACCGGGACCGAGGACCGCGCUUCGGCUAGGAUGCUGGCGUAAUGGUUGUAAGCGACCCGUCUUGAAACACGGACCAAGGAGUCUAACAUCUAUGCGAGUGUUUGGGUGUCAAACCCAUACGCGUAAUGAAAGUGAACGGAGGUGAGAACCCUUAAGGGUGCAUCAUCGACCGAUCCUGAUGUCUUCGGAUGGAUUUGAGUAAGAGCAUAGCUGUUGGGACCCGAAAGAUGGUGAACUAUGCGUGAAUAGGGUGAAGCCAGAGGAAACUCUGGUGGAGGCUCGCAGCGGUUCUGACGUGCAAAUCGAUCGUCAAAUUUGCGUAUAGGGGCGAAAGACUAAUCGAAC
This 852-nucleotide ribosomal RNA is filed under the name Rhexocercosporidium senecionis. RNAcentral describes it as "partial large subunit ribosomal RNA". It matches the Rfam family "Eukaryotic large subunit ribosomal RNA", at positions 71 to 940 of the family's 3401-position model. Lineage: Eukaryota; Fungi; Ascomycota; Leotiomycetes; Helotiales. The record is from RNAcentral.